Cercophora samala is the source of this 117-nucleotide non-coding RNA. The record is from the annotation of a GenBank genome assembly. Lineage: Eukaryota; Fungi; Ascomycota; Sordariomycetes; Sordariales; Lasiosphaeriaceae.
GGUUGUUUGGCCGAGCGGUCUAAGGCGGUAGACUCAAGAUUCCCAUCUUUCCACCCAGCAAUGGGAGGGUGCAUUCUACUCUCGAAAGAGGCGUGAGUUCGAAUCUCACAGCAAUCA